This 200-nucleotide ribosomal RNA is filed under the name uncultured bacterium. Its description in RNAcentral is "partial 16S ribosomal RNA". It matches the Rfam family "Bacterial small subunit ribosomal RNA", at positions 30 to 230 of the family's 1533-position model. The record is from RNAcentral.
AUUGAACGCUGGCGGCAUGCCUUACACAUGCAAGUCGAACGGCAGCACGGGAGCAAUCCUGGUGGCGAGUGGCGAACGGGUGAGUAAUACAUCGGAACGUGCCCAAUCGUGGGGGAUAACUACGCGAAAGCGUAGCUAAUACCGCAUACGAUCUACGGAUGAAAGCAGGGGAUCGCAAGACCUUGCGCGAAUGGAGCGGC